UGCAAGUCGACGAUGAUGCCCAGCUUGCUGGGCGGAUUAGUGGCGAACGGGUGAGUAAUACGUGAGUAACCUGCCCUUGACUCUGGGAUAAGCCUGGGAAACUGGGUCUAAUACUGGAUACUACCUCUUACCGCAUGGUGGGUGGUGGAAAGGGUUUUACUGGUUUUGGAUGGGCUCACGGCCUAUCAGCUUGUUGGUGGGGUAAUGGCUCACCAAGGCGACGACGGGUAGCCGGCCUGAGAGGGUGACCGGCCACACUGGGACUGAGACACGGCCCAGACUCCUACGGGAGGCAGCAGUGGGGAAUAUUGCACAAUGGGCGGAAGCCUGAUGCAGCGACGCCGCGUGAGGGAUGACGGCCUUCGGGUUGUAAACCUCUUUCAGUAGGGAAGAAGCGAGAGUGACGGUACCUGCAGAAGAAGCGCCGGCUAACUACGUGCCAGCAGCCGCGGUAAUACGUAGGGCGCAAGCGUUGUCCGGAAUUAUUGGGCGUAAAGAGCUCGUAGGCGGUUUGUCGCGUCUGCUGUGAAAGCCCGGGGCUCAACCCCGGGUCUGCAGUGGGUACGGGCAGACUAGAGUGCAGUAGGGGAGACUGGAAUUCCUGGUGUAGCGGUGAAAUGCGCAGAUAUCAGGAGGAACACCGAUGGCGAAGGCAGGUCUCUGGGCUGUUACUGACGCUGAGGAGCGAAAGCAUGGGGAGCGAACAGGAUUAGAUACCCUGGUAGUCCAUGCCGUAAACGUUGGGCACUAUGUGUGGGGGACAUUCCACGUUUUCCGCGCCGUAGCUAACGCAUUAAGUGCCCCGCCUGGGGAGUACGGCCGCAAGGCUAAAACUCAAAGGAAUUGACGGGGGCCCGCACAAGCGGCGGAGCAUGCGGAUUAAUUCGAUGCAACGCGAAGAACCUUACCAAGGCUUGACAUUCACCGGACCGCCCCAGAGAUGGGGUUUCCCUUCGGGGCUGGUGGACAGGUGGUGCAUGGUUGUCGUCAGCUCGUGUCGUGAGAAUGUUGGGUUAAGUCCCGCAACGAGCGCAACCCUCGUUCUAUGUUGCCAGCACGUGAUGGUGGGGACUCAUAGGAGACUGCCGGGGUCAACUCGGAGGAAGGUGGGGAUGACGUCAAAUCAUCAUGCCCCUUAUGUCUUGGGCUUCACGCAUGCUACAAUGGCCGGUACAAAGGGUUGCGAUACUGUGAGGUGGAGCUAAUCCCAAAAAGCCGGUCUCAGUUCGGAUUGAGGUCUGCAACUCGACCUCAUGAAGUCGGAGUCGCUAGUAAUCGCAGAUCAGCAACGCUGCGGUGAAUACGUUCCCGGGCCUUGUACACACCGCCCGUCAAGUCACGAAAGUUGGUAACACCCGAAGCCGGUGGCCUAACCCCUUGUGGGAGGAGCCGUCGA
This 1396-nucleotide ribosomal RNA is filed under the name Kocuria rosea. RNAcentral's name for it is "bacterial SSU rRNA". It matches the Rfam family "Bacterial small subunit ribosomal RNA". Lineage: Bacteria; Bacillati; Actinomycetota; Actinomycetes; Micrococcales; Micrococcaceae. The record is from RNAcentral.